Molecule: ribosomal RNA, 253 nt
Filed under: uncultured bacterium
Lineage: Bacteria
Description: partial 16S ribosomal RNA
Rfam family: Bacterial small subunit ribosomal RNA
Source: RNAcentral
UACAGAGGUCUCAAGCGUUGUUCGGAUUCAUUGGGCGUAAAGGGUGCGUAGGUGGCGCGCUAAGUCAGGUGUGAAAUUUCGAAGCUUAACUCCGAAACUGCAUUUGAUACUGGCGUGCUUGAGGACUGGAGAGGAGACUGGAAUUCAUGGUGUAGCAGUGAAAUGCGUAGAGAUGCGGAGGAACACCGAUGGCGAAGGCAACCCCCUGGGCUGACACUGACGCUCAGGCACGAAAGCGUGGGGAGCAAACAGG